This 219-nucleotide ribosomal RNA is filed under the name uncultured bacterium. Its description in RNAcentral is "partial 16S ribosomal RNA". It matches the Rfam family "Bacterial small subunit ribosomal RNA", at positions 111 to 334 of the family's 1533-position model. The record is from RNAcentral.
UAAUGUAUGGGGAUCUGCCCGAUAGAGGGGGAUAACUACUGGAAACGGUGGCUAUACCGCAUAAUGUCUACGGACCAAAGCAGGGGCUCUUCGGACCUUGCACUAUCGGAUGAACCCAUAUGGGAUUAGCUAGUAGGUGGGGUAAAGGCUCACCUAGGCGACGAUCUCUAGCUGGUCUGAGAGGAUGAUCAGCCACACUGGGACUGAGACACGGCCCAG